This 119-nucleotide ribosomal RNA is filed under the name Octopus bimaculoides (California two-spot octopus). Lineage: Eukaryota; Metazoa; Mollusca; Cephalopoda; Octopoda; Octopodidae. The record is from RNAcentral.
AUAUACGGCCAUAUCACUUUGAAAACACCGGUUCUCGUCCGAUCACCGAAGUUAAGCAACGUCGAGCCUAGUGAGUACUUAGAUGGGUGACCGCUUGGGAAACCUAGGUGCUGUAAGAG